Long non-coding RNA from Bubalus bubalis (water buffalo), 2103 nucleotides. RefSeq lists it as uncharacterized. The transcript is spliced from 4 exons. NCBI's taxonomy places the organism in Eukaryota, Metazoa, Chordata, Mammalia, Artiodactyla, Bovidae. The record is from RefSeq and is a predicted model, not a curated record.
UGCCCUACGGGGCGGAGACCGGCCCCCUCAGCCCAGAGCCCUCAUUGGCCUACGGAUCCCCAGACCCCUCCUCCCAACCAAUCCGCGGCUUGAUCUUCCUCUACCAGAGGAUGAUUGGUUAAUAUGCCUAGCGAUCCAACCCCAAGACCCCACCUCCAUCCCACCACCGCCUGCUGCCCCACGUCCGAGAGCUCGCUGAUUGGUCCGUCCGGAAGGGGGCUGGUUCUCCGGUACCGCCAAUGACAAGAUGCAGAAAAGGGGAGCGUCACACCCAGUCCCAGGUAGUAUGCAAAUACUGUGUCACGUGACGUCAAGCAAAGUGGGGGCGGGGCCGGGGCCGAGGCCGGGUGUAAGAUGGAAUAAAGCAGUAGUGAAAUCAUCAUGGGGAGCUGGGAGGAGUGUCAAAUUUUCAGCAAUUGAGUCCCGUUUUCCCUACCUUAGAGAAAGAGAGAGAGAUGGGGAAGCUGGGGGAUUUCCAUUAAGGAGAAACCAGAGACGAUCAAAGGAGGAGGAGGGUGGUGCUGCCCUUUAAGAAAGCCUGCCAGAGCUCUGGAACUGGGACUCUUAAGAAACUUCUGUAAUGUGCCAAGUAAAGUGAGAAAGCUCUUCGUGGGGUCAAAAGAGAAGCUACAAGAGGAGGCCCCACGGAAGACUUGGCAGAAGAGAGUGGGAAGGAGUUUCACAUGGAUGGAUCAGAGCCUCAGCCUCCAUCUUUCCACAGCCUUUAAGAUUUUGCCUCAUAUGCAUGCAUACUUGACAAAGACUUUACCACUAGAGGUCAUAGAGAAGCCAGAGAGAGUGAGGAGAAACUACCAGAUAAAUCAUUACGAAGCAAAUGUUCUCCUUUCUCAAUUACAUGGACUCAAUAGCUGAAUGUGGCUAGACAAAGCACCUGUCUCUCCGUCUUUCAAUCAGACUUAAAAAGAAAAUCAUCAAGACCUCAGUAGAGAAAUGAGUAAUGCACGGGAUUUCAUGGAAGAGGAAACAGGACUAGCAAAUAAACACAUGAAGACUGAAGUCCAUCCUAACUAGAAAUAAAAUGAAAAGCACAUUUGAGGUGCACUUUUCUUUCUUUCUUUUUUUUAACUAAACUUGCAAGAUUUUAUUAAGUGGUAACACUCAGUUCUGGGAACAUCUUAAAAUUGGUAUCCUCCCACAAGGAUGGUGACACUUUAAAUUUGGACAAGUCUUUGGGGAAAAAAAUCAAGCAACGUAGAAGAGGUAGAAAUAAAAACAGGAGAGCUAAGAUGCAUGCAGACACACACUGCAUCAUUAUCUGACUUAAAAGAACCUCAAUAAUCCCAAACAGAGCACGUUAUGUCACAGUGCCACAUUACAACAUUACACAGCAAUUACAAUUAUAAUUACAAGGACUACAGAGAAACAAGGAGAUAUUAAGAAUGUGUAAAAAAUAUGGAAUUCCAUGUAAGCAAUGAGUGCAUCUAUGCAAAAUGUGUACAUAUAAUAAAAUGUAUGCAUGUGGAGAAAAAUUGGAAGGCAAUAUGCAAACAAUAAAAAUAGCUCUAUAGCAGCAGUGAGAUUAAGGAUGUUUUAUUUUUUCAAACAUUUAUUUAGUGUUAUUAUACUGGAUUAAUAACUUUUGAAAAGGUGGAGAGGGUUGGUGCAGGUGUACGUCAUACUCCCCCAGCCCCCACUAUUACACACUGGUCCUAAAUUGACAGGUCUAGGAGGAAAAGACCUGUCUGUUUAUUCACAGAGUACACUCAGCUCCUACCCAAAGCAUAGCACUUACCAGAUGCUCGAUAAAUAUUAGUUGAAUGAAUAAAUGAAAGUAACUUCAGUCUAAAACGUCUCAACCCAUGAUCACUAAAUACAUUCUACCCUGGGAAUAAAAAAGAAUUUGGUUUUGCUGGAAUUAAAAAAAAAAAAAAUGGAAGGCCCAUCCAUAAUGGCAAUUCCCUGGUUUUCUUGAUAAAUGAAUUUGGGCAUAGAGAAACAGCGAGAGACAGUCUGUUAAAGCAAACCCAAUUACCACCCAGGAACAUAUGUUGCCCUGAGGCCUCUGCUGCUAUAACAACAUUGUGUAACUAUAACUACAGCCCUGGAGGGCUUUGCCCCUGUCAAAUAAGGGAAAAGAUGUCU